GAUGAACGCUAGCUACAGGCUUAACACAUGCAAGUCGAGGGGCAGCACAGUGUAGCAAUACAUGGGUGGCGACCGGCGCACGGGUGAGUAACGCGUAUCCAACCUGCCCCCGUACUCGGGUAUAGCCCAGCGAAAGCUGGAUUAAUCCCCGAUGUCACCUUUAUGGUGCAUGCCAUAUUGGUUAAAGUUACUCGGUACGGGAUGGGGAUGCGUCUGAUUAGGUAGUAGGCGGGGUAACGGCCCACCUAGCCGACGAUCAGUAGGGGUUCUGAGAGGAAGGUCCCCCACACUGGAACUGAGACACGGUCCAGACUCCUACGGGAGGCAGCAGUGAGGAAUAUUGGUCAAUGGUCGGAAGACUGAACCAGCCAAGUAGCGUGAAGGAUGAAGGUUCCUAUGGAUUGUAAACUUCUUUUAUAUAGGAAUAAAACCUCCCACCGUGUGGGAGGCUUGUAUGUACUAUAUGAAUAAG
This 472-nucleotide ribosomal RNA is filed under the name uncultured bacterium. RNAcentral describes it as "bacterial SSU rRNA". It matches the Rfam family "Bacterial small subunit ribosomal RNA", at positions 28 to 490 of the family's 1533-position model. The record is from RNAcentral.